AAGCCCAUUAUGAUGAUUUCAUAGUUCAGCUGAAUUCAGUGAUGUAUUACAGCUUAUGUCUUUCGCUCCUAUCUGAUUAGAACU
This is a small nucleolar RNA of Pieris rapae (cabbage white), 84 nucleotides long. RefSeq annotates it as small nucleolar RNA snR60/Z15/Z230/Z193/J17. The record is from RefSeq and is a predicted model, not a curated record. The transcript has a single exon. Lineage: Eukaryota; Metazoa; Arthropoda; Insecta; Lepidoptera; Pieridae.